This 295-nucleotide unclassified non-coding RNA is filed under the name air metagenome. RNAcentral describes it as "partial contains small subunit ribosomal RNA, internal transcribed spacer 1, and 5.8S ribosomal RNA". The stretch from base 1 to 46 matches the Rfam family "Eukaryotic small subunit ribosomal RNA", at positions 1786 to 1831 of the family's 1831-position model. The record is from RNAcentral.
AAGUCGUAACAAGGUUUCCGUAGGUGAACCUGCGGAAGGAUCAUUAACGAUUUCAAACCCUCGGGGGUUGCCGGUGGCCCUGCCCCGGACGGCUAGGACACCCUACGCCUGCCGUGAGCGGUCUGCCGCGCGAUCCCCGAAACCCACAAACCACUGUGCACCUUUCGCGGUGGAGGGCGUGGCGCGAGCCCGUCCGAAGCCGCGGCAUCACAUACCACUGGUACCUUAGAAAGUGUAGCGGACUCCGUUCCGCCCAUAAACGUGACAACUUUCAACAACGGAUCUCUUGGCUCUC